AUGAUUUGACCUUUUGCACAUUAAAACAAUAAAACUAGAAAAAUCAACUAUAAAAUGAGGGAUUCAUCAGAACGUUUUUCUAAUCUUGAGAAAGUUCCAAUAAUAGGCUCAUUAUUUCACUACCAAAGGAAGAAAAAAACUAGAGAAGAGAAAAACAUACUAACAGCUGAUUUAUUUUUACACACAAUAAACCUAGAAAUGCAAAAUUCCAGAAGAAAUUUCCCCCUUUCCUCUUUUCCUUUUACCUUUCAUCUUUUCUUUGACAAAACCCUGAGUAACAAAAAAAAAAGAUCAAAUUAGAUUAGAGAAAAUAUUUGUAUGAAAAGAAUAAUAUUAUAUAACAUAAAGAGUAAAUCACAAAUGAAUAUUACUAGCUUUAACUAACUGUUUCUCAAAGAUGUCAAAUUCAAAUCUAUAUGUUUCUUCUUGUAAAAAUCAAUAGUAUACUUAGAAAGGCAACAUAACAGACCAAAAAAAGAAGGAAAAAAGAAUUUUUAAGAAUUUACAUAUUAAUAGUAGUGUCAAAAUGAAAUCAAUCCAAAUCUUUCUAAGAUAUACAUGAUUUAUAUAGGGAAAUCGACUUUACAAGAUUCAAGAACCUAACAAAAGAUAUUGAGAAUUGAAAGAAUGAGCUAAAAAUAAAAGUGGAUGAAAGAAUAUGUACUCUAAGAUUCUGCAAAGAAGUCUAUACCAUUUUUCUCAAAGUAGAGGGAUCUUCUGCUAUUGGAACAUUUGGAUGCCAUAUCUGGCAUGGAUUAUGCAUCCCAUUGAAAUUUACAAAAGGGUUUAGCAAAUCUAAUUCAAAAGUAACAUUCCUUUCCAUUAAGUUCUUUCUUGUAGAAAAAUUUAUGGGCAGAUUGAAGAUUUGUUUUACAUUCACCUCAUUGAACCUUUCAAUUGACAAUGCGAACUUUAUAUGUUGUCCAUUUUUCUGUUUAGGCUUCUUUUUCAGUUGAGCUCAAUUUCACAAAGUACAACAAAUUAGCUAUAAAAAUCGGAUUUUACAAACUUAAUCAUACUAAAAUAUUACAGGGGAACAUCAUGUUUUGAAAAUACAGAUUUAAAACCCCCAAAUUGAAUUACGUAAUAAUUAUUUCCAUGUUAGUCCAAGUUAUUAAAAUUGUGGUGAUGUCAAUGAAUAUGUUUAGAAUAAUAGUAAUCUAUCAAACCAAUUGCAUAGGGAUCAACGGAAUAAGAAUUGAUAAUGCUCACAACAUGGUAGUCGAAAGCUUGUCAUGGAUUCAGUUAUAACUGAGAUUUUUAUGUUACAACUUUUAGAAGUGGAAAGAGGCAAUUCAGGGUCAUGAAUUAAAAGCAUAAAGCAUUGAAGAUGGAGUGCUUUACAAACAAAACAUGGCUAUCUUUUAUGAUUCAAGGUAAGAAAAUGUUAUAUAGAGGAUGAAGUCUGGCUAAGCAAGCAAUACAUUAGCAAGCCUCUUGGACGAAUCAGAUUGUAACAAAGAAUCUUAACUCUCAAACUAAAGUAAUAACCAAUUCAUUAAGUACUAAAUUUUCAAUCACUUGCAUAUCUCUAAUACUUAACUAACAAAAAAGCUGCUUCAACUUACUUUCUUCCUUUACCUAACAAAUACCCUGAGUACAGCAUAGGCCAAAAAUUCAACCACAGAAUGUGUUAAUAGCACAAUAACAUUUUAGUUCCUAUAUGAUAAGUAAAAACCAAAAAAAUACAACCAACUUUAACUAUAUUUUGCAGUUCAAUCCAAAUAAUUCUUCAACUUUUUUGUGACGAUAAUAACAAAAAAUUCAAACAAUAUGUUUGAAAGAAAACUUGCUGCAGCAAAGACCAAUAGCGAAUAGCUUGUAUGAAGGAGAUCAGUAGAAACAAUACAUCAUUAAAAUGCAACAAGAAAAUGACUUAUAUAUAGAGCAAAAAUAUAGAAACCACAACUGUAAAUGAAAAGUGGACAAAAAAUUCCUCUAAAUAUAAACAACAACAACACCUAUAACAAUAUAAGAAACUUAAAACAGAGCUUAGGAAAUAAAAUUAAAGUAAGCACGGAUGCAAAAAAAUUAGAAAACUCACCAUAAGGAAAGAGAAUGUGAUAGAGAAGAAGCACAAAAAAAUUCCUAAAAAGGAAAAGGCACAUAUUAACAAGAAUUUAGGAAAAAAUUAACUAAUAGAAUAACCAUAUAGAUGCUUCUACAAGAAGAGAAUAAUCACACAAUAAUAGAUAAUUAAAAAAUAUUUGUCAGAUUUUAAAGAUGGAAGGAAGAAAACAGCUGAUUCUCCAGGAUAGAAACAAAAUGGUCACCAAUUGAUCUAUAGAAAAAAACUCACCUUUGCCUUUGCCUCAUAAAAUAUGAGACGGACAAUUGUUGCCUUUCAAUCUACCUAAAAAAAAGAAAAAAAAUAUUGAGUAACCUGAAGUAAAUAGAAAUUUUUUUUGCUCUUAGUUUCUCCUAUUUAUUGUUAUCACCGUGACCAAUGGAGAGUAAUAGGCCUGGGAAGCCACGCAGAGGAAGAUUUGGACAACAGCGAAUUAAAGAAAGAGAAGAAGUGAAAAUAAGAGAGAAGAAAGGGAGAAAGAGACUGAGAAGAAGAA
This 2564-nucleotide long non-coding RNA is filed under the name Coffea arabica (coffee). Its description in RNAcentral is "long non-coding RNA (CARA_LNC004241)". Lineage: Eukaryota; Viridiplantae; Streptophyta; Magnoliopsida; Gentianales; Rubiaceae. The record is from RNAcentral.